Molecule: transfer RNA, 72 nt
Filed under: Bos taurus (domestic cattle)
Lineage: Eukaryota; Metazoa; Chordata; Mammalia; Artiodactyla; Bovidae
Also listed under: 2 other names
Rfam family: tRNA
About the family: Transfer RNA (tRNA) molecules are approximately 80 nucleotides in length. Their secondary structure includes four short double-helical elements and three loops (D, anti-codon, and T loops).
Source: Rfam by way of RNAcentral
UCUCUGGUAGCCUAGAGGGUAAAGCAUCUGUCUGCAAUGCAGGAGAUCCUGGUUCGAACCCUGGGUAGGGAA